RNAcentral lists this ribosomal RNA (511 nucleotides) under uncultured bacterium. Its description in RNAcentral is "bacterial SSU rRNA". It matches the Rfam family "Bacterial small subunit ribosomal RNA", at positions 28 to 569 of the family's 1533-position model. The record is from RNAcentral.
AAUGAACGUUGGCGGCGUGGAUUAGGCAUGCAAGUCGCGCGACAAGCCCCGCAAGGGGUGGAGGAGCGGCAAACGGGGUAGUAAGGCAUCGGAACGUACCCUCUAGUCGGGGAUAGCGGCGGGAAACUGCCGGUAAUACCCGAUGAUAUCUUCGGAUCAAAGGUCCGCCGCUGGAGGAGCGGUCGAUGUGGUAUCAGGUAGUUGGCGGGGUAAUGGCCCACCAAGCCGUAGACGCCUAGGGGGUGUGAGAGCACGACCCCCACCACUGGGACUGAGAUACUGCCCAGACACCUACGGGUGGCUGCAGUCGAGAAUCUUCGGCAAUGGGCGCAAGCCUGACCGAGCGACGCCGCGUGCGGGAUGAAGGCCCUUGGGUUGUAAACCGCUGUCAGGGGGGAGCAAGCCGCAAGAUUGAGCGAGCCCCAGAGGAAGCACGGGCUAAGUUCGUGCCAGCAGCCGCGGUAAUACGAACUGUGCGAACGUUAUUCGGAAUCACUGGGCUUACAGGGUG